CCUACGGGAGGCAGCAGUGAGGAAUAUUGGUCAAUGGGCUUACGCCUGAACCAGCCAAGUCGCGUGAUGGAAGACUGCCCUAUGGGUUGUAAACCUCUUUUGUCAGGGAGCAAUUGGCGCUACGUGUAGCGUUAUCGCGAGUACCUGAAGAAAAAGCAUCGGCUAACUCCGUGCCAGCAGGCGCGGUAAUAAGGCGGAUGCGAGCGUUAUCCGGAUUUUUUGGGUUUAAGGGGUGCGUAGGCGGAAUUCCAAGUAAGCGGUAAAAGCGCGGGGCGCAAACGCGCUGCGCCGUUGAAAAUGGCGUUCUUGAAUGGGCGUGAAGUAUGCGGAAUGCGUGGUGUAGCGGUGAAAUGCAUAGAUAUCACACAGAACUCCGAUUGCGAAGGCAGCAUACCGGCGCCCAACUGACGCUGAAGCACGAAAGCGUGGGUAUCGAACAGGAUUAGAUACCCGUGUAGUC
RNAcentral lists this ribosomal RNA (460 nucleotides) under uncultured bacterium. Its description in RNAcentral is "partial 16S ribosomal RNA". It matches the Rfam family "Bacterial small subunit ribosomal RNA", at positions 338 to 795 of the family's 1533-position model. The record is from RNAcentral.